AUGUCAUCUUCCUCCUCCUCCCUCGCCAUGGCCAUGCCUUCGCUUGCUUCGCUCGGCCACACCAUCACGGAGAAAUUGACGCGCGACAACUUCCUGGUGUGGAAGGUCCAGGUCCUCCCGCACGUCAGGGCCGCGGCGAUGAUGGGUUACCUUGAUGGCUCGAUCAAGGAACCCGCUGCCUUCAUCGUCACCGAGAAGGAAACCAACGGGAAGAAGGAGACCGUUGAGACGCCCAACCCAGAGCAUGCGAUCUGGGUGACUCAAGACCAACAGGUGCUUACUUUCCUGCUUGCAUCAUUGUCUCGCGAAGUGCUAAUGCAGGUGUCCAACCACACCACCGCUGCGGGCGUCUGGCAGAAAGCUUCUCCGCGCAAUCCAGGGCGCGCCAGAUCCAGCUCCGCUCGGCCAUCGGCAACGCCCGCAAGGGUGAUCUCUCUGCUUCCGCCUACUUCACGAAGAUGA
This 462-nucleotide ribosomal RNA is filed under the name Triticum aestivum (bread wheat). RNAcentral describes it as "partial small subunit ribosomal RNA". The record is from RNAcentral. Lineage: Eukaryota; Viridiplantae; Streptophyta; Magnoliopsida; Poales; Poaceae.